GAACCUGCGGAAGGAUCAUUACCGAGUGAGGGCCCUCUGGGUCCAACCUCCCACCCGUGUCUAUCGUACCUUGUUGCUUCGGCGGGCCCGCCGUUUCGACGGCCGCCGGGGAGGCCUUGCGCCCCCGGGCCCGCGCCCGCCGAAGACCCCAACAUGAACGCUGUUCUGAAAGUAUGCAGUCUGAGUUGAUUAUCGUAAUCAGUUAAAACUUUCAACAACGGAUCUCUUGGUUCCGGCAUCGAUGAAGAACGCAGCGAAAUGCGAUAAGUAAUGUGAAUUGCAGAAUUCAGUGAAUCAUCGAGUCUUUGAACGCACAUUGCGCCCCCUGGUAUUCCGGGGGGCAUGCCUGUCCGAGCGUCAUUGCUGCCCUCAAGCACGGCUUGUGUGUUGGGCCCCCGUCCCCCUCUCCCGGGGGACGGGCCCGAAAGGCAGCGGCGGCACCGCGUCCGGUCCUCGAGCGUAUGGGGCUUUGUCACCUGCUCUGUAGGCCCGGCCGGCGCCAGCCGACACCCAACUUUAUUUUUCUAAGGUUGACCUCGGAUCAGGUAGGGAUACCC
Molecule: ribosomal RNA, 557 nt
Filed under: Aspergillus fumigatus
Lineage: Eukaryota; Fungi; Ascomycota; Eurotiomycetes; Eurotiales; Aspergillaceae
Description: eukaryotic LSU rRNA
Rfam family: 5.8S ribosomal RNA (bases 207-360)
Source: RNAcentral